Haplochromis burtoni (Burton's mouthbrooder) is the source of this 3649-nucleotide RNA transcript. It is a transcript of the gene named methyl-CpG binding domain protein 4, with no coding region annotated. The record is from RefSeq and is a predicted model, not a curated record. The transcript is spliced from 11 exons. Lineage: Eukaryota; Metazoa; Chordata; Actinopteri; Cichliformes; Cichlidae.
UAGCGAGUAGCUCGCAAUGCGCAGACUCGCACUUGCUCGCUACUUCCUGCUUCUGUGUUGACAUCAGAAAGUACUCGGGAAAGCAACGUCGAGACAAGAAGAUGCACAUCUAAAGCCUGAUCAGUAUUCAUGACUCCAAAGAAACUAAAAAUGCAUCCUACUAGAUGAGAUACUGAACUGGAGAGCAGUGUGGACAUGAAUCAUCAAAGUCUCAAAGAAGGGGAUAUUUUGUGCACUUCUUCCGCAUUGCCCCCUGGCUGGAUCAGAGAAGUGAGGCAGCGGAAAGCAGGCAAAACAGCAGGCAAACUAGAUGUCUACUUUACAAGUCCCGAAGGGCAAAGGUUCCGGUCCAGAGCAUCCCUACGCACUUUCCUCCUGGAAAGUGGAAGUGGUAACUUAGACAUAAGCCUCUUUGAUUUCACCACAUCACAAGCACCCCCUUCCAAAGUAAAGCAGAGGAGAGGAAAGAAAAAGCCUUCAGAGGGACAGCAGGAGGAAACAGAAAAUGGAACAGCAAUUCUAGAGGCACCUCCAAAUAAAUCCAAACAAGCCUCUUCCUCCCUCAGAAGUGAUACUAAAAGUGGAAAAGUGAAGACAGCAAACGACACAAAUCAUAUUGAUGCUGACACUGAACUACAGAAGACUGCAUGUGUAUUAGAAGUGAAUGUGAAUGGAGACAAAACUACUGAAAGUUUAAAUGGUUGCUUACAAGCUUUGACCUCAGAAAAAGUGGACAAUGUACAUCUGCAAAAGAGCCCCCAAAGAGGAGGCCAGCUGAGAGAGAAGUUACUCAGACUGGCUCCUUUAAGUAAUCAACUAAACACAUCUAUUCUUCAAGAGGACAAGAAAGCAGAUUUGCAGCCUUCGGCCCCGAUUUUGAAUGUUGAACCUGCCGCUGAGAGCGAGAACAAAGGUGAUGAAAGCAAAGGUGACAACACUCCUAAUUCUGACCUGGAGGCUGGCAGUGACAGUCGUCAAGAUGCUGAAGAACAUGCGUUGUUACCUGAUACCACUGAUGGGAGCUGUACACCAGUUCGAGAAUCCCAGAAUAAGUCCAAAAACUUGGAAGGCAAGCGGAAAACAAGUCCUUAUUUCAGUGGGAAAUCCAGCAGAGAUGGACUUAGCCCACCGAGGAGGAAGGCCUUCAAGAAGUGGACACCUCCCCGGUCUCCCUUCAACCUCGUACAGGAAACUCUUUUCCAUGAUCCCUGGAAGCUGCUGGUAGCCACAGUUUUUCUGAACAAAACCAGUGGUAAAAUGGCCAUUCCAGUCCUGUGGCAGUUCUUUGAGCGUUAUCCAUCUGCAGAGGUGACCCGGCAGGCCGACUGGAAGCCCAUGUCUGAACUAAUGAAGCCACUUGGCCUGUAUGAGCUUAGAGCCAAAACACUCAUCCGCUUCUCAGAUGAGUAUCUAACUAAACAGUGGCGUUACCCUAUUGAGUUGCACGGUAUUGGAAAGUACGGCAACGAUUCGUACAGGAUCUUCUGUAUCAAUGAGUGGCGACAGGUAAAACCUGAUGAUCAUAUGCUAAACAAGUACCAUGCUUGGCUGUGGGAGAACCAUGAGAAACUGGGAAUCUGAAGGACCAGAAACAAGAAAAUCACUUCUAUCACACAAACUGCAGUUACCCAACAAUAUAACAAUAUUAGCAUUAUGGAGGACUUGAAAUUUUAAUCGUGAAUUUCUUCAAUAUUAUGCAGUAUUACGCUGGCUAGCCUUUAAGAACUUUUACUAUGUGUUGAAUAAAAUGUUUUAAGCUGGUUAAAAGUUGAAAUGAUUCAUGAGUGGUUUAUUCAGCCUUCUCGCCUCAGGCUUUCUACAUAGAUGAGAUCCAGGGACACCCCCUAAAUAUAGCUAUUGGCACAGUCUAAUCUUUCUUUAUGAGUGCAUUGAUGCGUACCACUUAAUGCAGCAGCUUUCUUUUGAUAGGGUGUAACUUGAUUCCCAAGGCAACUGUUGCCACCGCAAAACACUCAACACAUACAUCGGUACGUCAGUAUAAUCUCUAACUAGCACCACUAUAGCAAUCCGGUAUAUUUAAACUUGGAUUUAUUUUUUUUGUGUGUUGUUGCAUGUUGAUUUAAUGCUAAGGCAACUACACCUUUAAGAAGAAAAGUAGAGCUUUGAAAGUUUCAUUGGACUCCUCUGGUGUGCCAACAGAAGUGUGAAGUAUAAGAUGAAACUACGUAAGGAGAGAUUUUGUUUUCCAUUUGUUGUCCUUUUUUUUAAGUAUUACUGGUUUUAUUUAAAAGUAUCUCUUUUAAUUCUUUAAUUCUGUUCACUUCUUUAUCCUCACAGCAGCCAUCUCCAUAGCUUCCACGCCAGUCUGUAUUCCUCGCGCACCUCCUGUCCGGCAAGGUCGCUGCGUGGUGGAUACAACCGUAAAAUUUCCCGUAAUUUCGGACUCCGCACAGUUUUGGAAAAGCAAUCAGAGUAUUCCCAGAUUGAACCCUUUACACCCACCAUUUGUCCAUAAACGGACUGUCAGUCUGGAGACACCAGAUGUUCACCAGCACAACCACCAGAGGACACUGAUCAUGCAGAGAAAAGAGCAUUACAGGUAGGUGCACUAAAUCAUUUCACUAUCACUGAAUCACUUGUGCCAUUUCCCUCUUUCCUUUGAAGAGCUGACUUCAAAGGCAAUGACUGAAAGUUGCUGUGUCAGAUAUCAUCAGGUAUGGCGAAAACCCUUCUAUGGAACCAGCAGUGAGAGAGAAGAGUACAGGAAGGAGUUGCGAGAACAGCUGAAGAGACAAAUAGAGGAGAAAUGUGCAGCAAUAAAGCUGCAGCUGGCCAAUAAAAUAAAGGAAGCGGAGACUCUCCGAGAAGCAGACCGCCUCGAUCUGGCCAGUGAACGAGACCAAAGGAUCCAACACAGCAAAGCAAUGGCGGUGUACAGAGAUGAGAACAAGAGGCUAAUGGAGCAGAGCUGGAGGGACAGAGCACUAACACGUUCCCAGGAGGCCCUGAAUGAAAGAGAGCUGCUGCGCCUCAACCCCAUCAACUGGAGUGGAACACUGAAAUAGGUCAAACCUCCCCAGGAGGUCAAAACGUCAGACUUGGGCCUCACUGUAGCAUGUGUGUCAGGUGGAAAAAUGGGAUCCCAAAUGUACAGUGCAGAAUCACUAAAGGAACUAAUUUUAAAACAUUUUGGAUUACAUACAGUCAUGUGAAAAAACGGGUACAGAGUCUUUCAAUUCACAGUUUUUGUAUCAGGUCAUUAAAAAAAACAAAAUCUGGUCCUUGGCAAAUCUUAAAAUUAGGUCAAUACAACCUACAUAUCAUACAAUGUCAUCAUUUAUUUAAACACAAAUUCAGACAAAAUACAGAAGCAGUGUUUUAAAAACUUAGUACACCCUUAUUACUUCUAUAGGAAUUCAGAAAGUAAGCAACACUAGGUGAGCUGAUCAGUUUCCUCUUACUUUAUUGAUAACCAGGAAGCUUAUCAAAAACAAUUUGAAGUCUGGUGAUAUAUGGUGAUAAAGAGUAUUCAAAAGUUGAAAACACUCAAUACCGUCACUAAGCUUUCCAGAAAUGGAUGUUCCAAGAAAUUCACCCCAGGGUCCGACUGCAUAACACUGAGGAGAACCUGUCAAAAACAAAAAAAGCUCUGCCUGUCUCAGUUCUCAUGUUAAAUGUUAAAGUUCAC